This 646-nucleotide small RNA is filed under the name Pongo abelii (Sumatran orangutan). Its description in RNAcentral is "processed transcript". Lineage: Eukaryota; Metazoa; Chordata; Mammalia; Primates; Hominidae. The record is from RNAcentral.
UCAGGAGCUAUGGCCAGGGCAGGCCCAGACUCCAGCAUACCCACUCCUGCUCCCACCUUCCUCUGCCUGGCACUGCCACCUCCUUGACAGUGUUCUCUGCAUGGUCCCCAACCCUCAGCUGAGACUGCAUGGCCAGCUCCACCCCCAGGAUUGCUGCUCUGCGGGGAAACGUGGGAGCUGCCUUGGGGAGCCUGGCCCUCUACACCCCACCCAGGGUACCUGGCCCAGGUGAGAAGCUGUACCCCAACCUCCUCAUGCCCCCUUUUUCUCUCUAGCCUCAGGGUGCUUUCCUGAAGUCCUGCCCUGAGCCCCAACCCAACCCUGAGGAGGGGGCCCUCUGGAGCUCGGGUGCCCCCGGCCCCGCAGGGAGAGAUGAUUGACAGGAUCGAGUACAAUGUGGAACACGCGGUAGACUAUGUGGAGAGGGCUGUGUCUGACACCAAGAAGGCCGUCAAGUACCAGAGCAAGGCGCGCCGGAAGAAAAUUAUGAUCAUCAUCUGCUGUGUGAUCCUGGGCAUCGUCAUCGCCUCCACUGUUGGGGGCAUCUUCGCCUAGAAGCCACCCAAACUGCCACUCCACUCCAGGUGGGCCACUCCAAGGAGGCCCUGGCUGCUGCCACCUGGCUGGGCUGCCCUCCCAACCCCCG